This 252-nucleotide long non-coding RNA is filed under the name Mustela putorius furo (domestic ferret). RNAcentral's name for it is "lncRNA (ENSMPUG00000026259.1)". Lineage: Eukaryota; Metazoa; Chordata; Mammalia; Carnivora; Mustelidae. The record is from RNAcentral.
GGAGCACCCCAGAGGCUGGUCUAAUCUUGGUUCGUUGGCUCAAGGUUGCACCAGACAACAGACGGGGAGAGUGUUUUCUUUCAGUUCUUCAGCUUCAAAUAUGAGGCCUUCAGGAGAAUGGAAGGGAUCCCUUCAGUAGAAAGGAUUCAUGGUAGAGAAAUGCAGAAUUGCACAACCAUCACAAAUAUCUAAUUCCAGAGGACUUUGACUGCCCGGAAAGAAGCCCCGUACCCAGAACCCGUCAUUCCCAAC